CGAUCAGGAUUAGAUACCCUGGUAGUCCAUGCCGUAACGUUGGGCACUAGGUGUGGGGGACAUUCCACGUUCUCCGCGCCGUAGCUAACGCAUUAAGUGCCCCGCCUGGGGAGUACGGCCGCAAGGCUAAAACUCAAAGGAAUUGACGGGGGCCCGCACAAGCGGCGGAGCAUGCGGAUUAAUUCGAUGCAACGCGAAGAACCUUACCAAGGCUUGACAUUCACCGGACCGCCUCAGAGAUGGGGUUUCCCUUCGGGGUCGGUGGACAGGUGGUGCAUGGUUGUCGUCAGCUCGUGUCGUGAGAUGUUGGGUUAAGUCCCGCAACGAGCGCAACCCUCGUUCUAUGUUGCCAGCACGUGAUGGUGGGGACUCAUAGGAGACUGCCGGGGUCAACUCGGAGGAAGGUGGGGAUGACGUCAAAUCAUCAUGCCCCUUAUGUCUUGGGCUUCACGCAUGCUACAAUGGCCGGUACAAAGGGUUGCGAUACUGUGAGGUGGAGCUAAUCCCAAAAAGCCGGUCUCAGUUCGGAUUGAGGUCUGCAACUCGACCUCAUGAAGUCGGAGUCGCUAGUAAUCGCAGAUCAGCAACGCUGCGGUGAAUACGUUCCCGGGCCUUGUACACACCGCCCGUCAAGUCACGAAGGUUGGUAACACCCGAAGCCGGUGGCCUAACCCCUUGUGGGAGGGAGCCGUCGAAGGUGGGACCGGCGAUUGGGACUAAGUCGUAACAAGG
Molecule: ribosomal RNA, 732 nt
Filed under: uncultured bacterium
Lineage: Bacteria
Description: bacterial SSU rRNA
Rfam family: Bacterial small subunit ribosomal RNA
Source: RNAcentral